GUGAAGGAUCUAAUGAUGGCUUCAUAUCUGCUUGUGAACAGUAGGUCUGACUUAACUAAGAAGUAUGGUGAAUAACUAUUAGGUGAGCCCACAUGACUUAGAGAUUGAAUCAUUAACAUGCAUGAAAUGUAUUGGAUAAGAGUUGUCCACCGAUUGAUUUACUAUGCCAUCAAUAACUAUUAGGUGAGGUGCAUACAAAUCGAUGGGACCGCAGUACCCAC
RNAcentral lists this long non-coding RNA (221 nucleotides) under Elaeis guineensis (African oil palm). Its description in RNAcentral is "long non-coding RNA (EGUI_LNC060023)". Lineage: Eukaryota; Viridiplantae; Streptophyta; Magnoliopsida; Arecales; Arecaceae. The record is from RNAcentral.